AUUCAGCUGAUGACUCUCAAAUAAGACGGAACGCGUGUUCUGGAU
This 45-nucleotide non-coding RNA is filed under the name Schistosoma mattheei. The record is from RNAcentral. Lineage: Eukaryota; Metazoa; Platyhelminthes; Trematoda; Strigeidida; Schistosomatidae.